GUGGGGAAUAUUGCACAAUGGGGGAAACCCUGAUGCAGCAACGCCACGUGUGGGAAGAAGCAUUUCGGUGUGUAAACCACUGUCAUGAGGGAAUAAGGCCCGCCUUCGGACGGGAUUGAAUGUACCUUGAGAGGAAGCACCGGCAAACUUCGUGCCAGCAGCCGCGGUAAUACGAGGGGUGCAAGCGUUGUUCGGAAUUACUGGGCGUAAAGGGAGCGUAGGCGGAGAUUCAAGCGGAUUGUACAAUCCCGGGGCCCAACCCCGGCUCUGCAGUCCGAACUGGAUCUCUUGGAUAGUUCAGGGGCAGGCGGAAUUCCUGGUGUAGCGGUGGAAUGCGUAGAGAUCAGGAAGAACACCGAUGGCGAAGGCAGCCUGCUGGGGACUAAUCGACGCUGAGGCUCGAAAGUGCGGGUAGCAAACAGG
RNAcentral lists this ribosomal RNA (423 nucleotides) under uncultured rumen bacterium. Its description in RNAcentral is "bacterial SSU rRNA". It matches the Rfam family "Bacterial small subunit ribosomal RNA", at positions 354 to 776 of the family's 1533-position model. The record is from RNAcentral.